CCCCUCUCAGGGUCGCACCUGGAGAGUUUCCAGUACUCUACCAGUCGUGACUACAGGAGGGAGAGUCAAGUAGAGGCCUGCCCAUUCCAUUCCUAACUUGGGCAGUGGCCAGGGAGUGGAAGGCAAUCUGCUACAAGG
Molecule: small nucleolar RNA, 138 nt
Organism: Tachyglossus aculeatus (Australian echidna)
Lineage: Eukaryota; Metazoa; Chordata; Mammalia; Monotremata; Tachyglossidae
Source: RefSeq, a predicted model, not a curated record